UACGGAGGAUGCGAGCGUUAUCCGGAUUUAUUGGGUUUAAAGGGUGCGUAGGCGGCGCUUCAGGUCAGCGGUGAAAUACCGGGGCUCAACCCCGGGGCUGCCGUUGAAACCGGAGCGCUAGAAUUCCGAUGCCGUCGGAGGAAUGUGUGGUGUAGCGGUGAAAUGCAUAGAUAUCACACAGAACACCGAUAGCGAAGGCAGCUUACCAGACUGAGUCUGACGCUGAGGCACGAAAGCGUGGGUAUCGAACAGG
RNAcentral lists this ribosomal RNA (253 nucleotides) under uncultured bacterium. RNAcentral describes it as "partial 16S ribosomal RNA". It matches the Rfam family "Bacterial small subunit ribosomal RNA", at positions 524 to 776 of the family's 1533-position model. The record is from RNAcentral.